Papaver somniferum (opium poppy) is the source of this 3872-nucleotide long non-coding RNA. RefSeq lists it as uncharacterized. Lineage: Eukaryota; Viridiplantae; Streptophyta; Magnoliopsida; Ranunculales; Papaveraceae. The record is from RefSeq and is a predicted model, not a curated record. The transcript has 7 exons.
GUAUGUUCUGUGCGACAUCCACUUCUCAAUAAUCAAGUCACAGUCCAAUGGAGAUUCGAUUUCUACAUCUCUAAUUAUUAUCUUUUGAUAGAUGUAAUCGACUUCUUUGGCUUAAGUUUAAAGUUUCAAUUUUACGGUUUAUUUGAGUUUUCCAUUCAAAUAUUUUUUAUCUGUGAUUAAUCAAUGUCAAAAAUAUUGUCAAAUUGGUAGUUUAACUCCGUUUAUAGUUGAUAUGUUCAUCUGUUUUGAUUUUCUUAUAUGGGUCGGUUGGAUUAUGAACUGUUGUAUGCGAAUAGGUCAAUUGUGUUCUUUUGGUGCGAUUUAAUUAAGGUGAUUUGUCAAUAGGGAAAGAGUAAUUGUGCCCUUCAAGUGUUUGAGAAAAAACUUGAAAAUGAGUUCCGCGGAGUAACAUUAUGAUCCAAGCCAGAUGAUUGAUAAGGUGAGUAUUCUUAUUUAUCAUUAAUUAUCCAUAAAAUUUCUAAUGACAGGAGUAGUGGAGGAACUUGACACUUUUUGAUGCUAUUUAUUUUAUGAUAUCCCUGAACUUUUAAAUAUUUUUGUGUGAACUCUUUAACACGUUGGUGAUUAUUUCUUAUUGAAAGCUACGGAUUCAUUUAAAGCUCACAGUGUUAUGACAGUUCACUUAAAAAUAUGCUUACUAUUUGAAAAUUACAAAUCAUUUCCACACUUUGUCAUAAUAAGGUAAAUCUGCGGUGCUUGAUUGCAGAGACGUUUUAUGGGUCAGUAGAGAAAGCACAAUCACAAAGCGCAUGAAUGAAAUACCAAAUGUCUUCAAUAGUCUAACCAAAGACACCAUGAUGUUAAUGCAACUAAUUAGCUAGAUGAAAGACCUAUAAUACACCUUAAACUUUUAACAUAAAUUAGAUGUGUUCGAUGAAGAUCAAAUAUAUAAAAAAAUACUUUAGCAAAAAGGAGGCACCUCGAUCAAGAAAGCUCGCACUACAACAAUUAUCAUAUGCUGAAAGGACAUAAUAGGAUAAGAUAAGUCAUUACAUGGAUUAAAUUGUUGUGAACAUCAUAAAGGUACAUUGCGGUGUUGAUUAUUAAUUAUUAUGUUGAAAAAUAAAGUAAAAUUUGGAACACUACUGCAUUAGCUGCAUUAGAAGUGCAACAUAGAGGAAUGCACUUGGGUUGGAUUGAUUUCUUACUGAAUUUUUUAUUUCGAUAUUCACGACUUGAGAGAUGCAUCAUAAAUUCAUAAAAUAGCUGAUUCCAUGUAUCUGGAACACUGGGGAGGCACCAAAGGCUACAAUCUUGGAGCAUAAUUUCUUUAGCAUUGGUUUUGUUGUUUCUCUGAGUGUGAAAAGUUGGUGAUGUCGGCCACUGUGAUUGCACAAAAUGCAAAUCAACUGUCGAGGAGCCAUUGCCAAGGGCCAUGUUUUUACGCUCGAAAUUGAGGUCCAAAAAAUCGUCAGAUCCACCGCAUCGGACUUAAUUAUUCAUGAACGGGGAGGUGUAAGUCCUACAGUAGCAGACAAAUCAGCAAAUGGAAUUUUUCCCCACUCUAAGGAUGUAGCAGAGACUGGCAUCAGCGUAAAAAGACACGGUACAUGAUCUGCGUGAGAGAUGACCUAUGGAAAGAUGAUGGUUUAUGUAUCAGGUUAUCCUAUAAGAGGACAUACAUGGAGGAGAUGACGGUUCAGAAUUUUGUGCUAUUUAUGCUAUGAUUGGAUGGAUGUUGUUCAAGAGACUGUCACGGUGAUUUUUAAAGGGUGACUUCUUUUAGAUGUGACAGAACCAUUGAUUACUUUGAGAAAUCUAUAUCUUUAUAAUGGAUUUUUUGCUUUGUUGAUUGUAUAGUUGGAUGCUGGAUUUUUGUUUGCAUCAGUAGAAUAGAUGAAAAUAACAAAUCCGUACUGAAAGAGAAGCAAGGGUAUGAUGCACCUGCAAGAAGAGAAUCUUCUAGAAGGGACAGUUCGGAAAAUCUUUCCUUACUGAGCACAAUUAAGAAUUGGUGAUGCUAAUCAAAGAAAAUACAAGCGAAUUCGAUGACCGAUGUGAUAAACACCAAAAAUGGUCAAAUUAGAGGAACUUGUGACUCAAAAUACCAAUACUCCAAAGGAAUUUAUUUAAAUGUGGCUGGCCUGGUAUUUAUAUAUCAGCACCCACAUUUGUUGAGGGAUUUGUCAACAUAUUCACUUCCUAACAGAGAAGGGGACCCUAGAGCACUAUCUCGAGCAUUUGGCAUUUUUCAAUUUGCUGCCGUCUUGUUCUUCUUUUUCUGCCAUUCUCUUUUGUCCGACAAUGUCUAAUUCUCAGACCGAAACAACAGCAGCACCAAUAGUUGAUUUAGGGCAUUGAUUGUUCCAAGGCAAAGAAAGGAAGACGGUGAUUCAUGGCUGUGAAACGUGAAAGAUAUUGAUGGGAGAUUGCAGUAGAUGAUGUCUGUGUAUGAAGUUUAAAUGUGACUGGAGAAGACAGACCAGUUGACGAGAAUGGAAUGUCUGGAGUUAUAUAUUGAAAUGUGUUCGGUGAUUGUCUGAGCUAGUUGCAACAGAGAGUAGACACCGCUAUUCUGGUUGGAAUUUAGGAAUGAAUCAUGGCAUCCGGUCAUGGUGGCCGUGUAUAUAUGCAUGAAAGCAUAUGAAAUUGGGGUGAUAAUGUUAACAGCGAGAAGAAAGGUACUGAGUUGGUUGUCUGUUAGCUGAUGGAGUGCAACUUCUUCUUCCGAAAUCAGAAGCAGCAGUUCUUAGGGCGACAUUAAUGGUGGUUGAUUGGGUUUUCUGUGAGGCUGUGUAUAUGAAUCAGCUAGAGCUGCAAAUUGUGGUUGCCUGGGAAGGAGCUGAAAUGAAAUGGUGAGAAGAUGGAGCUGUGAUAAUGGAGUUGCUCAUAUUGCAGAAGCGAAGAAGAGUCUGAAGUCUGAGACCGAGAUGAUGAUCAUGGAAGCUGUUCAUCGUGAUGUCAGCAGCAAUGGAUUUUGAUUGCAGUUUGGCAAGAGUAUUCUCGAUUGGAAAUGAUUGCAGUGGCGAUAUUUACUGGUACCUACAAUUGGGUCAUGAUUAAAUGGUGAAGGACAGCGCCAACAGAGAUGGAAGGAGGGACUGUCGAUGGCUCGAGUGGUUCUGUCGUUCAAGAAAGCGAUGAAGAAAUCUAGGGUUUGCUGUGUUCGAUCUUGGGAGGGAGAUGAACGGGAAUGGAGUUGUUCGAAGUGAAGUUACGGUCAAUAACUAGCUGAACAUUCGUAUGGGGUUUGGUCACCGGUAUCAAUUCUCAAGGGAGAAAGAAAGUGCUAGCUGUGCUCAUGGAGUCAGGAAACAAAGAAAACAAUUAAUAAUUCGGAAAUGGACUAUUGUAUUCUGGUUCUCUGUGGAGUUCAAAUGUUUAUGACUUAUGUCAACAUCAUAUCUUAACUUCCCCAUAUUGUUGUAAGAUUCUUCCACAACGUUUAUGGAAACAAAAUGAGCACGAGACAUCUAUAAGAUCAGAUGGCAGACGAGUGUUGCAGAAGAAGACGUGGAGAAACUUCAUUGGGUGAUUUUGUUUAUCACUCAACAUGUGUCACAAGUUAAUUGGCUGAUGAUGUGGUGUAGAGAAUUAAUAAGGAAAUUAGAUUUCUUUGAGAGGCUAUGUAUACGUUCAAAGAUUGAGCCAGAAAGGAGGUCGGCUGAAGGCUGAAAGACGACCAGAAAGGAGGCGCGGCUACGGAGCCGCAACUUAGAGAACAGGGUUUGAGUUGAUUUUCUCCCAUUCUUCGGUUUUGAUUAGUGAUUCUCCAUUGAUAUUUUUAUGGCUUUGGAGAAAGCCAUGCUUUGUUGAUUUUUUUGUAAAUAGGAUUUAUGAUGGAAACCAUUUUGGAUAUUAGGCUACUAUGAAUCGAAUGAUUUAGCAAUAAGAUCAUUAUGAUUUGAAUA